This 460-nucleotide ribosomal RNA is filed under the name uncultured bacterium. Its description in RNAcentral is "partial 16S ribosomal RNA". It matches the Rfam family "Bacterial small subunit ribosomal RNA", at positions 338 to 795 of the family's 1533-position model. The record is from RNAcentral.
CCUACGGGCGGCAGCAGUGAGGAAUAUUGGUCAAUGGACGAGAGUCUGAACCAGCCAAGUAGCGUGAAGGAUGACUGCCCUAUGGGUUGUAAACUUCUUUUAUAAAGGAAUAAAACGAGGCACGUGUGCCUCUUUGCAUGUACUUUAUGAAUAAGGAUCGGCUAACUCCGUGCCAGCAGCCGCGGUAAUACGGAGGAUCCGAGCGUUAUCCGGAUUUAUUGGGUUUAAAGGGAGCGUAGAUGGGUUGUUAAGUCAGUUGUGAAAGUUUGCGGCUCAACCGUAAAAUUGCAAUUGAUACUGGCAGUCUUGAGUACAGUUGAGGUAGGCGGAAUUCGUGGUGUAGCGGUGAAAUGCUUAGAUAUCACGAAGAACCCCGAUUGCGAAGGCAGCUUACUAAACUGUGACUGACAUUGAUGCUCGAAAGUGUGGGUAUCAAACAGGAUUAGAUACCAGUGUAGUC